GACGAACGCUGGCGGCGUGCUUAACACAUGCCAGUCGAACGGAAAGGCCCUGCUUUUGUGGGGUGCUCGAGUGGCGAACGGGUGAGUAACACGUGAGUAACCUGCCCUUGACUGUGGGAUAACUUCAGGAAACUGGGGCUAAUACCGGAUAGGAGCUCCUGCUGCAUGGUGGGGGUUGGAAAGUUUCGGCGGUUGGGGAUGGACUCGCGGCUUAUCAGCUUGUUGGUGGGGUAGUGGCUUACCAAGGGUUUGACGGGUAGCCGGCCUGAGGGGGUGACCGGCCACAUUGGGACUGAGAUACGGCCCAGACUCCUACGGGAGGCAGCAGUGGGGAAUAUUGCACAAUGGGCGGAAGCCUGAUGCAGCAACGCCGCGUGCGGGAUGACGGCCUUCGGGUUGUAAACCGCUUUCGCCUGUGACGAAGCGUGAGUGACGGUAAUGGGUAAAGAAGCACCGGCUAACUACGUG
This 468-nucleotide ribosomal RNA is filed under the name uncultured bacterium. RNAcentral describes it as "partial 16S ribosomal RNA". It matches the Rfam family "Bacterial small subunit ribosomal RNA", at positions 28 to 507 of the family's 1533-position model. The record is from RNAcentral.